Molecule: ribosomal RNA, 303 nt
Filed under: Clostridioides difficile
Lineage: Bacteria; Bacillati; Bacillota; Clostridia; Peptostreptococcales; Peptostreptococcaceae
Description: bacterial LSU rRNA
Rfam family: Bacterial large subunit ribosomal RNA
Source: RNAcentral
UCUGGUCUUGGGACACUGUCAGGUGGGCAGUUUGACUGGGGCGGUCGCCUCCCAAAAGGUAACGGAGGCGCUCAAAGGUUCUCUCAGUACGGUCGGAAAUCGUACGUAGAGUGUAAAGGCAAAAGAGAGCUUGAUUGCAAGACAUACAGGUCGAGCAAGGAUGAAAAUCGGACUUAGUGAUCCGGUGGGUCUGCGUGGAAGGGCCAUCGCUCAACGGAUAAAAGCUACCCUGGGGAUAACAGGCUUAUCUCCCCCAAGAGUCCACAUCGACGGGGAGGUUUGGCACCUCGAUGUCGGCUCAUC